GAGUUUGAUCCUGGCUCAGGAUGAACGCUAGCGGCACGCUUCAUACAUGCAAGUCGAGGGGCAGCAUAAAGUACUUGUACUUUGAUGGCGACCGGCGAACGGGUGCGUAACGCGUAUGCAACUUACCUUUUACUAGAGAAUAGCCAAGAGAAAUUUUGAUUAAUGCUCUAUACUCUUUUUAACUCACAUGAGUUUUUAAGAAAAGCUCCGGCGGUAAAAGAUGGGCAUGCGUCCUAUUAGCUUGUAGGUGAGGUAACGGCUCACCUAAGCUCCGAUAGGUAGGGGUCCUGAGAGGGAGAUCCCCCACACUGGUACUGAGACACGGACCAGACUUCUACGGAAGGCAGCAGUAAGGAAUAUUGGACAAUGGAGGAAACUCUGAUCCAGCGAUGCCGCGUGAAGGAAGACGGCCCUAUGGGUUGUAAACUUCUUUUAUACAGGAAGAAACCUUUCCACGUGUGGAAAGCUGACGGUACUGUAAGAAUAAGGAUCGGCUAACUCCGUGCCAGCAGCCGCGGUAAUACGGAGGAUCCAAGCGUUAUCCGGAAUUAUUGGGUUUAAAGGGUCCGCAGGCUGUUUGUUAAGUCAGGGGUGAAAUCCUACCGCUCAACGGUAGAACUGCCUUUGAUACUGGCAAACUUGAGUUAUUGUGAAGUAGUUAGAAUGUGUAGUGUAGCGGUGAAAUGCAUAGAUAUUACACAGAAUACCAAUUGCGAAGGCAGAUUACUAACAAUUAACUGACGCUGAGGGACGAAAGCGUGGGUAGCGAACAGGAUUAGAUACCCUGGUAGUCCACGCCGUAAACGAUGGUCACUAGCUGUUCGAUGUACAUUGGUACAUUGAGUGGCUAAGCGAAAGUGAUAAGUGACCCACCUGGGGAGUACGCUCGCAGAGUGAAACUCAAGGANUGACGGGGCCCGCACAGCGGUGAGCAUGUGGUUUAAUUCGAUGAUACGCGAGGAACCUUACCAGGACUUAAAUGUAAGUUGCAUGAUUCAGGAA
RNAcentral lists this ribosomal RNA (1002 nucleotides) under uncultured bacterium. Its description in RNAcentral is "bacterial SSU rRNA". It matches the Rfam family "Bacterial small subunit ribosomal RNA", at positions 9 to 1006 of the family's 1533-position model. The record is from RNAcentral.